RNAcentral lists this ribosomal RNA (27 nucleotides) under Emblica officinalis (emblic). RNAcentral describes it as "Phyllanthus emblica partial 18S ribosomal RNA". Lineage: Eukaryota; Viridiplantae; Streptophyta; Magnoliopsida; Malpighiales; Phyllanthaceae. The record is from RNAcentral.
UAGGGGGGGCCUGCGGAAGGAUCAUUG